RNAcentral lists this ribosomal RNA (462 nucleotides) under uncultured bacterium. RNAcentral's name for it is "partial 16S ribosomal RNA". It matches the Rfam family "Bacterial small subunit ribosomal RNA", at positions 28 to 507 of the family's 1533-position model. The record is from RNAcentral.
GACGAACGCUGGCGGCGUGCUUAACACAUGCAAGUCGAACGGAAAGGCCCUUCGGGGUACUCGAGUGGCGAACGGGUGAGUAACACGUGGGUGAUCUGCCCUGCACUUGGGGAUAAGCCUGGGAAACUGGGUCUAAUACCGAAGAGGACCACGCGCUUCAUGGUGUGUGGUGGAAAGCUUUUGCGGGGUAGGAUGGGCCCGCGGCCUAUCAGCUUGUUGGUGGGGUAAUGGGGUACCAAGGCGACGAAGGGUAGCCGUCCUGAGAGGGUGACCGGCCACACUGGGACUGAGAUACGGCGCAGACGCCUACGGGAGGCAGCAGUGGGGAAUAUUGCACAAUGGGCGCAAGCCUGAUGCAGCGACGCCGCGUGAGGGAUGCCGGCCUUCGGGUUGUAAACCUCUUUCAAUAGGGACGAAGCGCAAGUGACGGUACCUAUAGAAGAAGCACCGGCUAACUACGUG